RNAcentral lists this ribosomal RNA (511 nucleotides) under bacterium enrichment culture clone ALO1_GLFRUDD03GOF5O. RNAcentral describes it as "bacterial SSU rRNA". It matches the Rfam family "Bacterial small subunit ribosomal RNA", at positions 9 to 511 of the family's 1533-position model. The record is from RNAcentral.
GAGUUUGAUCAUGGCUCAGAUUGAACGCUGGCGGCAUGCCUUACACAUGCAAGUCGAACGGCAGCACGGGAGCUUGCUCCUGGUGGCGAGUGGCGAACGGGUGAGUAAUGCAUCGGAACGUAUCCUGGAGUGGGGGAUAACGUUUCGAAAGGAACGCUAAUACCGCAUACGUCCUACGGGAGAAAGCAGGGGACCUUCGGGCCUUGCGCUAUCAGAUGAGCCUAGGUCGGAUUAGCUAGUUGGUGGGGUAAGUGGCUCACCAAGGCGACGAUCCGUAACUGGUCUGAGAGGAUGAUCAGUCACACUGGAACUGAGACACGGUCCAGACUCCUACGGGAGGCAGCAGUGGGGAAUAUUGGACAAUGGGCGAAAGCCUGAUCCAGCCAUGCCGCGUGUGUGAAGAAGGUCUUCGGAUUGUAAAGCACUUUAAGUUGGGAGGAAGGGCGAGUAAGUUAAUACCUUGCUGUUUUGACGUUACCGACAGAAUAAGCACCGGCUAACUCUGUGCCAG